RNAcentral lists this ribosomal RNA (581 nucleotides) under Halorubrum distributum. RNAcentral describes it as "partial 16S ribosomal RNA". It matches the Rfam family "Archaeal small subunit ribosomal RNA", at positions 344 to 925 of the family's 1478-position model. The record is from RNAcentral. Lineage: Archaea; Methanobacteriati; Methanobacteriota; Halobacteria; Halobacteriales; Haloferacaceae.
AAACCUUUACACUGCACGACAGUGCGAUAGGGGAUCCCAAGUGCACAGGCAUAGCGCCUGUGCUUUUCGGUACCGUAAGGUGGUACCAGAAUAAGGGCUGGGCAAGACCGGUGCCAGCCGCCGCGGUAAUACCGGCAGCCCAAGUGAUGGCCGAUCUUAUUGGGCCUAAAGCGUCCGUAGCUGGCCGCGCAAGUCCAUCGGGAAAUCCACCUGCUCAACAGGUGGGCGCCCGGUAGAAACUGCGUGGCUUGGGACCGGAAGGCGCGACGGGUACGUCCGGGGUAGGAGUGAAAUCCCGUAAUCCUGGACGGACCGCCGAUGGCGAAAGCACGUCGCGAGGACGGAUCCGACAGUGAGGGACGAAAGCCAGGGUCUCGAACCGGAUUAGAUACCCGGGUAGUCCUGGCCGUAAACAAUGUCUGCUAGGUGUGGCUCCCACUACGAGUGGGUGCUGUGCCGUAGGGAAGCCGCUAAGCAGACCGCCUGGGAAGUACGUCCGCAAGGAUGAAACUUAAAGGAAUUGGCGGGGGAGCACUACAACCGGAGGAGCCUGCGGUUUAAUUGGACUCAACGCCGGACAU